Long non-coding RNA from Protopterus annectens (West African lungfish), 264 nucleotides. RefSeq lists it as uncharacterized. The record is from RefSeq and is a predicted model, not a curated record. NCBI's taxonomy places the organism in Eukaryota, Metazoa, Chordata, Ceratodontiformes, Protopteridae. The transcript has 3 exons.
AAAGUGCCAUCUUCUGUUAUUGAGAGUAAGGGAUGUGUCCUGCGUCAAGUUUCGGUGUAUUAGCAGAUGGUGUGGUACAACCGCACUGCUGAAUGCAUUCUAAUUCUGAAAUAGAUGUGAAUAGACAAGCCCAUGCUGAGUGUCUAGAGAGACUGAGGGAAGCAAGUGUGAUUGUGGCUGGAACAAGAGUGUCGAUUAGGAUCUCAUGAAGGUAUUUCCUGGCAUUAUUGAUGGGCGGGACAUGGAUUUGAAAUAACCAAGCAA